This 231-nucleotide ribosomal RNA is filed under the name uncultured bacterium. RNAcentral describes it as "partial 16S ribosomal RNA". It matches the Rfam family "Bacterial small subunit ribosomal RNA", at positions 524 to 754 of the family's 1533-position model. The record is from RNAcentral.
UACGUAGGUGGCAAGCGUUGUCCGGAUUUACUGGGCGUAAAGAGCGCGCAGGCGGUCGAUUUAGUCGCGUGUGAAAGCCCCCGGCUCAACUGGGGAGGGUCACGCGAUACUGAUCGACUCGAAGGCAGGAGAGGGUAGUGGAAUUCCCGGUGUAGUGGUGAAAUGCGUAGAUAUCAGGAGGAACACCGGUGGCGAAGGCGGGUCUCUGGGCCGAUACUGACGCUGAGGAGC